AUUGAACGCUGGCGGCAGGCCUACCACAUGCAAGUCGAACGAGUGGCGGACGGGUGAGUAAUGUCAGGGAAACUGCCUGAAGGAGGGGGAUAACUCCUGGAAACGGUAGCUAAUACCGCAUACCAUCAAAUGUGCCCAGAGGGGAGUAGCUUGUUGGGGGGGUAACGGCUCACCAAGGCGACAAUCACGAGCUGGUCUGAGAGGAUGACAAGCCACACUGGAAAUGAGACACGUGCCAGACUCCUACGGUAGGCAGAAGUUGGGAAUAUUGCACAAUGGGCGAGAGCCUGAUGCAGCCAUGCCGCGUGUAUGAAGAAGGCCUUCGGGUUGUAAAGUACUUUCAGCGGGGAGGCGUUACCCGCAGAAGAAGCACCGGCGAACUCCGUGCCAGCCGCCGCGGUAAUAC
This 406-nucleotide ribosomal RNA is filed under the name uncultured bacterium. Its description in RNAcentral is "partial 16S ribosomal RNA". It matches the Rfam family "Bacterial small subunit ribosomal RNA", at positions 29 to 526 of the family's 1533-position model. The record is from RNAcentral.